CUCCGGUUGAUCCCGCGGGACCUGACUGCUAUCGGAUUGGUACUAAGCCAUGCGAGUCAUUGUAGCAAUACAAGGCGGACGGCUCAGUAACACGUAGUCAACCUAACUCGUGGACGUGGAUAACCUCGGGAAACUGAGAAUAAACCACGAUAGGUCAUGAUUUCUGGAAUGGAUCAUGGCUCAAAUCUACAUGGCCCCUGGAUUGGACUGCGGCCGAUCAGGCAGUUGGUGAGGUAAAGGCCCACCAAACCUAUAACCGGUACGGGCUCUGAGAGGAGAAGCCCGGAGAUGGGCACUGAGACAAGGGCCCAGGCCCUAUGGGGCGCAGCAGGCGCGAAACCUCUGCAAUAGGCGAAAGCCUGACAGGGUUACUCUGAGUGAUUUCCGCUAAGGGGAUCUUUUGGCACCUCUAAAAAUGGUGCAGAAUAAGGGGUGGGCAAGUCUGGUGUCAGCCGCCGCGGUAAUACCAGCACCCCGAGUGGUCGGGACGAUUAUUGGGCCUAAAGCAUCCGUAGCCGGUUCUGCAAGUCUUCCGUUAAAUCCAGCCGCUCAACGGAUGGGCCGCGGAGGAUACUACAGGACUAGGAGGCGGGAGAGGCAAGCGGUACUCAGUGGGUAGGGGUAAAAUCCUUUGAUCCAUUGAAGACCACCAGUGGCGAAGGCGGCUUGCCAGAACGCGCUCGACGGUGAGGGAUGAAAGCUGGGGGAGCAAACCGGAUUAGAUACCCGGGUAGUCCCAGCUGUAAACGAUGCAGACUCGGUGAUGGGCUAGCCUUGUGCCAGCCCAGUGCCGCAGGGAAGCCGUUAAGUUUGCCGCCUGGGAAGUACGGACGCAAGUCUGAAACUUAAAGGAAUUGGCGGGGGAGCA
RNAcentral lists this ribosomal RNA (868 nucleotides) under uncultured archaeon. RNAcentral's name for it is "bacterial SSU rRNA". It matches the Rfam family "Archaeal small subunit ribosomal RNA", at positions 1 to 878 of the family's 1478-position model. The record is from RNAcentral.